UCCAUUUUGUUGCUGGAAACUGAACUCUGGAAGAACGGUACGUGCUCUGACCACAGAGCCAUCUCCUCCAUAGUUUUAAACUACACACAGUAAGAACAGCUGGGAAACAAUUAUGAAGACUAUCCUGUAAGAAUUACAUUCACGAUGCCCACUCCAUUUGUGUAUGGCAGUUUAGGUGAAGUACUCUACUAUCUCUUCUAACUUGGACUAGUCACAACUUGUAACCAACACCUCUAAAUGGCAACAAACAUCCGUGACUCAUCAAACUACUAAAAACCACCUACCCCACCUCUCGGGAACGAGGGUGUCAUGCUGCCUGGAGGGAGAGGUGUCUUUUGGGUGCCCUAAGAAAACUGGUAUGUCUAGUCUCGCUGUAACAGUCUUUGAGACUAGACCAGCUGGGGUCAGCAGCUUUGAAGCUUUGAUUGGAGCAAGUUUUGAUCAGUUAUGAAGGCGGUCUGACGCCAAAUCAAGCAGGAUGCUGGAACAAACAUGUCUCGGAGUGUCAGCAUCAAUUUCAGCAUCCUCCAGGACUGCUUUAACCUCAUUGGCAUCUGGUCCUUUUGUCCUGUGAACAUACACUUUUACAGGUAAUAUACAUUUUUGUAUAAACACAUGUAUGGAAUGUUCCGUGUGUGAGAUUUAGCUGACAAUGAUUUUCUGCUUUUUGUUUGAGCAGGUGAAAGGCAUCUGUCUUUCUUUAUAAGUCAGUCAGGGCUGUAUGUCCAACUGUAAUACCAGUUUUUAAUCUAUGCCACAUGAAGGGAUGACAUGAUAAGGCCUGAGGUCUAUGUAGCCAAAAAGAUUUAUUGGCUAUAUAGAGAUUUUCCCCCAUAUCUCAGCUAGUCUCAGAGCUGUUCCCAUGUAGAGAGAUCAGCGAUAUAUGUUAUCUGGUUUGUUGAUCUUGAUUUCUUCCUGUCUGUAGCCAAGAUUUUCAGGGGUUCUCCCCUGGUCAAAUCCAAUCUUUAUUAAUUUUGUAGAAAUCCAAAGUUGUUUCUUUUUGUUUUUGGUUUUUUUUUCCUGUUGAUACAGAUACAAAACCUCUUCACCAACAUAAUGCAUUUCCUGUCUUCCAUUCUGAAGUUAAGACGAUAUAUGUCGAUUAACUUUAGCAGUCUUUUUCUUAUUUAGGUCUGCUUUACUUUGAUCUUUCUUAAAGCGGAUGUAUAAAUCAGCAGCCAUUAUUGAGCACAUUGCUCCAUGACGACACAACUAAACAAAACUA
Molecule: long non-coding RNA, 1225 nt
Organism: Psammomys obesus (fat sand rat)
Lineage: Eukaryota; Metazoa; Chordata; Mammalia; Rodentia; Muridae
Exons: 3
Source: RefSeq, a predicted model, not a curated record